This 72-nucleotide transfer RNA is filed under the name Camelus bactrianus (Bactrian camel). It matches the Rfam family "tRNA". Rfam says of the family: Transfer RNA (tRNA) molecules are approximately 80 nucleotides in length. Their secondary structure includes four short double-helical elements and three loops (D, anti-codon, and T loops). Further hydrogen bonds mediate the characteristic L-shaped molecular structure. tRNAs have two regions of fundamental functional importance: the anti-codon, which is responsible for specific mRNA codon recognition, and the 3' end, to which the tRNAs corresponding amino acid is attached (by aminoacyl-tRNA synthetases). tRNAs cope with the degeneracy of the genetic code in two manners: having more than one tRNA (with a specific anti-codon) for a particular amino acid; and 'wobble' base-pairing, i.e. permitting non-standard base-pairing at the 3rd anti-codon position. The record is from Rfam by way of RNAcentral. Lineage: Eukaryota; Metazoa; Chordata; Mammalia; Artiodactyla; Camelidae. RNAcentral also lists the same sequence under 2 other names.
GGGGGUACAGCUCAGUGGUAGAGUGUGUGCUUAGCAUGCACGAGGUCCUGCGUUCAAUCCCCAGUGCCAUCA